This 403-nucleotide ribosomal RNA is filed under the name uncultured Oscillibacter sp. RNAcentral describes it as "bacterial SSU rRNA". It matches the Rfam family "Bacterial small subunit ribosomal RNA", at positions 356 to 774 of the family's 1533-position model. Lineage: Bacteria; Bacillati; Bacillota; Clostridia; Eubacteriales; Oscillospiraceae. The record is from RNAcentral.
GGGGAAUAUUGCGCAAUGGACGCAAGUCUGACCCAGCAACGCCGCGUGAACGAAGAAGGUCUUCGGGUAGUAAAGUUCUUUUAAGGGGGAAGAGGAGAAGACGGUAUCCCUUGAAUAAGCUAUGGCUGACUACGAGCCAGCAGCCGCGGUAAUACGUAGGUGGCAAGCGUUGUCCGGAUUUACUGGGUGUAAAGGGCGUGUAGCCGGGAAGGCAAGUCAGAUGUGAAAUCUGGAGGCUCAACCUCCAAACUGCAUUUGAAACUGCUUUUCUUGAGUGUCGGAGAGGAGAGUGGAAUUCCUAGUGUAGCGGUGAAAUGCGUAGAUAUUAGGAGGAACACCAGUGGCGAAGGCGACUCUCUGGACUGUAACUGACGCUGAGGCACGAAAGCGUGGGGAGCAAACA